RNAcentral lists this long non-coding RNA (2525 nucleotides) under Gossypium barbadense (sea-island cotton). Its description in RNAcentral is "long non-coding RNA (GBAR_LNC011972)". The record is from RNAcentral. Lineage: Eukaryota; Viridiplantae; Streptophyta; Magnoliopsida; Malvales; Malvaceae.
AAAGCUAUCAUUUUUCUCUUCUCCUUCACCGAAAUAUGCAGCAAAGAAAGGGUUUUGAAGCAGGAAAAUUUCAGCAACAUAUUUCCCUUGCUUGUAAGUGAUUUUAAUGUCUUUGCUUGAUGAUUUUUACAUUUUUGGAACCCCUAAAGCAUGAGCUUUCAUAAGAGGGGACUAUUUUGCAAAAUGAUGAAGAGUCUAGGGUUUUGCCAUGAGAGUAAAUGUGCUGUUUGCUGUGUUUUUAUGGAAGAUUAUGAGUCCUAGUUGUCUAAUAAACAACUUUUGUGAAAGAAAUUACAUGAAAACACCUUAAAAAAGGGCUAGAUUGCUAAGUUGUAAAAUAAGUUGUAAUGUGUAAAAUAGUUGAAAUUAUGAGUUGCUAUAGUUAUGAAAAUGGUUCAUCUAGACUCAAGGAGUAAAGAAAUGUGAUAAAAAUUAUUUUACGAGCAUUGAGGCAAAAGUGCAAAUAUGCAAAAGUUUAGGGGUCAAAAUGGAAAUUUGUAAAAAUAUGAUUUUUAUACCCAUAUGAAUAUUGUGACUGAUUGGUAGGCUAAAUGUGAUAUUAUAGAUCAAGAAAAUCAAGAUUUGGACCUAGAACAGAAAGAAAUCGAUUAAGGGAUGAUUAUGUCCUUUUCACCUUUGUGGUAUCGAGGUAAGUUUGUAUGUAAACAAUACCAUGCUAUACAUGUAUUUAAAUGUUAUCAUGACAUGAAUUGUACAGAUAUUAAGUGUAUGUGAUUAAUAGAAAUAUGAUAAGACAAAGCCUUAAUAGACGAGGAAAAAUCCCGUUUGAACCUUAGAAAUAAAAUAGGAUACGAGUGACAUGUCACUAGGAAUUAUGAGUCUAGAUGACUAGCUCGAGAGUGAGCAUUGAAACGUCAUGAGAUAUGAGGUAGCUUUAGCUACAAUUGAGGCACUUAUGUGCAAAGGCUUUUCCGAGUAUCCAAUUAGUAUUCCAAGUGUUUAACGGGUAAUCCAAGGAAAGAGUUGAUGAUGGUCCCAACGAGGUAAGUCAUUGGUGAGUAUACACUUGAGUUAUGUUACGAGUUGUGCAAGUAUGUAUAUUAAGCCUAUGAGAAUGCCUUGAUAUGUGAUGAUCUAUGAUGCAUAAUAUGUGUUCUUACCAUGAUGGAUGAAAUGAUGUUGUAUUAAUUUUGUGAACAAUGAUCAUGAAUGAGUAACUUAGCGUUGACAGAUUUGAGUUACUGUAGUAAUGUAACUUUGAAAAUACACUAAAAAUAGUGGAAAAUUAGUUAGAGGUAGAAUAAAAUAUGAGAUUAAAGCUUAAUGAGUCUAUUUUCACAUGAAAGAAACAGAGGAAGAAAAAGAAUUCUAUAUUGUGUGAUAUUUGAAUUCUUGUAAAACAGGGUCUGAAUGAAUUCGAGAUCCCCUGUUCUAACUUUAGAAAUUCAUCAUAAAUUGUAAAAAAAUUAUUAAGAGUCAUACCUUACAUGCAUGGAUUCCUUAUUGAGUCUAUUUUUAAGGGAAAAAAAAUGGCAUCGUCGUUGGAAUUUUGUACAGGGAGAAAUUCGGUUUGUAGUGCACAAGGGUUAGAGUGGUCAUACCCUGAAAUAGGGGAGACUUUAACUAAUAAACUGUACUAAAUGGCUUGACCAAAAAUUCUAGAAAAAACUUAGUAAGUAUACAUAUGAGUAUAGUUUCAAGAUAAAUAGACGAGAACAUUAUUUGAAUCCUGUACUAUGAGAUAAUUGAACUUUAGUGCAGAAGGGUUGAAACUGUCAGACAGUGAAUCAGGAGCAAACUUGAGGAGUAAACUGUACUAAUUGGCUAAGUCAAAAAUUCUGGAAAUUUUAUGAAAGAAAGAUAAAUGAGUCUAGUUUCAGGGAAAAUUAACGAAACUUAAUUUGGAGUUUCGUAGCUCCAGAUAUAAAUAAUUUAGUGACUAUUGCUCAGGAAGACAGCUUGCAGUGAACUUGAGAAUAUGUUGUAAACAUUGAUAAAACAAGUUAAUGAGUUGCUUAUUGUUUUCAUAUGAACUUACUAAGCGAAAGCUUACCCCCCCUUCUUUCCCAUGUUUUCUAGAGUUUCCAGGUUAGCUCGGGUUGAAGGCCGUCAGAGAUAUUAUCACACUGUCGAGUUAACGCUAUCGGCGUAAGUAAACUCAAGUGAUUCUAGUCUAUGGCAUGUAUAGGGUUUUAAUGUGAGUAUGUAAUAUUAUGAUUUAGCCAAAUGCAUUGGCUUGUUAUUAAGGUAGUAUUAGUCAUGUAAAUUGGCCUAUGUCGGCUAAUAUCGUUAUGGGCCAUAUGAUUAUUCUUAUGCAUGUAUGUUAUUAUCUCUUGUGAUGUGGCUUACAACAUGUAUGCCUAGAGAUUGAAUUCAGAUUCAUUGAUGAGCUAAUAACUAAUGCAGGAUUAAGUGAUUGGUAAAUAGUUAAUAAUGCUUCAUGAAUGGUUUGUGGAUAUGAUUAUUUAUGCUUUGUGAUGGACAUGAGGUUUGAUGACAUGUUGAUAGCUAUAGCAUUAAUAUGGUAAAGAUGAAAGAAAAACUUAUUGUAAUGGUUGCAUGUG